Molecule: small RNA, 104 nt
Filed under: Arabidopsis thaliana (thale cress)
Lineage: Eukaryota; Viridiplantae; Streptophyta; Magnoliopsida; Brassicales; Brassicaceae
Description: ATSL000820
Source: RNAcentral
UGUGAAAAAACAUGUUGGAUUUGUGGAAUCGCUAAUGACCACGGCUGAAUGGCGGGAUCCAAAAUCCGAUUAGAUUUCACAACGUCAUAUUAAUUUAAUAUUUA